CGGAGGGGCGUAGCGUUGUUCGGAAUUACUGGGCGUAAAGCGCGCGUAGGCGGCUUUGUAAGUUAGAGGUGAAAGCCCGGAGCUCAACUCCGGAACUGCCUUUAAAGACUGCAUCGCUAGAAUCAUGGAGAGGUUAGUGGAAUUCCGAGUGUAGAGGUGAAAUUCGUAGAUAUUCGGAAGAACACCAGUGGCGAAGGCGACUAACUGGACAUGUAUUGACGCUGAGGUGCGAAAGCGUGGGGAGCAAACAGGAUU
This 255-nucleotide ribosomal RNA is filed under the name uncultured bacterium. RNAcentral's name for it is "partial 16S ribosomal RNA". It matches the Rfam family "Bacterial small subunit ribosomal RNA", at positions 526 to 779 of the family's 1533-position model. The record is from RNAcentral.